Molecule: ribosomal RNA, 253 nt
Filed under: uncultured bacterium
Lineage: Bacteria
Description: partial 16S ribosomal RNA
Rfam family: Bacterial small subunit ribosomal RNA
Source: RNAcentral
UACGUAGGGUGCAAGCGUUGUCCGGAAUUAUUGGGCGUAAAGAGCUCGUAGGCGGUUUGUCGCGUCUGCUGUGAAAACUCGAGGCUCAACCUCGAGACGCCGAUGGAAACCAUCUGACUAGAGUCCGGAAGAGGAGAGUGGAAUUCCUGGUGUAGCGGUGAAAUGCGCAGAUAUCAGGAAGAACACCCGUGGCUAAGGCGGCUCUCUAGUACGGUACUGACGCUGAGACGCGAAAGCGUGGGGAGCGAACAGG